RNAcentral lists this ribosomal RNA (342 nucleotides) under Bombyx mori (domestic silkworm). RNAcentral's name for it is "partial 12S ribosomal RNA". Lineage: Eukaryota; Metazoa; Arthropoda; Insecta; Lepidoptera; Bombycidae. The record is from RNAcentral.
UUAGAUACCCCACUAUUAAAAAUUUAAAUGAAUGAUACGAAAAUAACAUAUAAUUAUUUAUAAAAACUAAAAUAAUUUGGCGGUAUUUUAGUUUAUUUAGAGGAAUCUGUUUAUUAAUUGAUAUUCCACGAAUAAAUUUUCUUAAUUUAUUUAAUUUUGUAUAUCGUUUUAAAUAAAAGAUUUUAAAAUAAUAAUAAUAUUUUAAUUUUAAUAUUAAAAGUAAAAUCAGAUCAAGAUGCGGAUUAUAAUUAAGAAUAUAAUGGAGUACAAUAAAUUUAUUUAAUGGGAUGUUAUUUUUAUGAUUUCAUAGAAAUUGUAUUAAAAUGUAAUUUUUUUUAAUUA